Scleropages formosus (Asian bonytongue) is the source of this 94-nucleotide transfer RNA. It matches the Rfam family "tRNA". From Rfam's summary of the family: Transfer RNA (tRNA) molecules are approximately 80 nucleotides in length. Their secondary structure includes four short double-helical elements and three loops (D, anti-codon, and T loops). Further hydrogen bonds mediate the characteristic L-shaped molecular structure. tRNAs have two regions of fundamental functional importance: the anti-codon, which is responsible for specific mRNA codon recognition, and the 3' end, to which the tRNAs corresponding amino acid is attached (by aminoacyl-tRNA synthetases). tRNAs cope with the degeneracy of the genetic code in two manners: having more than one tRNA (with a specific anti-codon) for a particular amino acid; and 'wobble' base-pairing, i.e. permitting non-standard base-pairing at the 3rd anti-codon position. The record is from Rfam. Lineage: Eukaryota; Metazoa; Chordata; Actinopteri; Osteoglossiformes; Osteoglossidae.
GCUCCAGUAGCGCAAUCGGUUAGCGCGUGGUACUUAUACAGCAGUACUCAUUAGAGUGAUGCCGAGGUUGUGAGUUCGAGCCUCACCUGGAGCA